Molecule: ribosomal RNA, 432 nt
Filed under: uncultured bacterium
Lineage: Bacteria
Description: partial 16S ribosomal RNA
Rfam family: Bacterial small subunit ribosomal RNA
Source: RNAcentral
AACGAACGCUGGCGGCAUGCCUAACACAUGCAAGUCGAACGAGACCUUCGGGUCUAGUGGCGCACGGGUGCGUAACGCGUGGGAACCUGCCCUUAGGUUCGGAAUAACUCCCCGAAAGGGGUGCUAAUACCGGAUAAUGUCUUCGGACCAAAGAUUUAUCGCCUUUGGAUGGGCCCGCGUUGGAUUAGCUAGUUGGUAGGGUAAAAGCCUACCAAGGCGACGAUCCAUAGCUGGUCUGAGAGGAUGAUCAGCCACACUGGGACUGAGACACGGCCCAGACUCCUCCGGGGGGCAGCAGUGGGGAAUUUGGGAAAAUGGGCGAAAGCCUGAUCCAGCAAUGCCGCGUGAGUGAUGAAGGCCUUAGGGUUGUAAAGCUCUUUUACCCGGGAUGAUAAUGACCGUACCGGGAGAAUAAGCCCCGGCUAACCCCGU